RNAcentral lists this ribosomal RNA (460 nucleotides) under uncultured bacterium. Its description in RNAcentral is "partial 16S ribosomal RNA". It matches the Rfam family "Bacterial small subunit ribosomal RNA", at positions 338 to 795 of the family's 1533-position model. The record is from RNAcentral.
CCUACGGGAGGCAGCAGUGAGGAAUAUUGGUCAAUGGACGCAAGUCUGAACCAGCCAUGCCGCGUGCAGGAAGACGGCUCUAUGAGUUGUAAACUGCUUUUGUACGGGGGUAAACUCCGAUACGCGUGUCUUUCUGAAAGUAUCGUACGAAUAAGGAUCGGCUAACUCCGUGCCAGCAGCCGCGGUAAUACGGAGGAUUCAAGCGUUAUCCGGAUUUAUUGGGUUUAAAGGGUGCGUAGGCGGUCGGAUAAGUUAGCGGUGAAAUCCCGAGGCUCAACUUCGGAAUUGCCGCGGAUACUGUCAGGCUAGAGAGGAGUUGCGGUAGGCGGAAUGUAUGGUGUAGCGGUGAAAUGCUUAGAGAUCAUACAGAACACCGAUUGCGAAGGCAGCAUACCAAGCUACGUCUGACGUUGAGGCACGAAAGCGUGGGUAGCAAACAGGAUUAGAUACCCGGGUAGUC